GACGAACGCUGGCGGCGUGCUUAACACAUGCAAGUCGAACGGAAAGGCCCUGCUUUUGUGGGGUGCUCGAGUGGCGAACGGGUGAGUAACACGUGAGUAACCUGCCCUUGACUUUGGGAUAACUUCAGGAAACUGGGGCUAAUACCGGAUAGGAGCUCCUGCUGCAUGGUGGGGGUUGGAAAGUUUCGGCGGUUGGGGAUGGACUCGCGGCUUAUCAGCUUGUUGGGGGGGUAGUGGCUUACCAAGGCUUUGACGGGUAGCCGGCCUGAGAGGGUGACCGGCCACAUUGGGACUGAGAUACGGCCCAGACUCCUACGGGAGGCAGCAGUGGGGAAUAUUGCACAAUGGGCGGAAGCCUGAUGCAGCAACGCCGCGUGCGGGAUGACGGCCUUCGGGUUGUAAACCGCUUUCGCCUGUGGCGAAGCGUGAGUGGCGGUAAUGGGUAAAGAAGCACCGGCUAACUACGUG
This 468-nucleotide ribosomal RNA is filed under the name uncultured bacterium. Its description in RNAcentral is "partial 16S ribosomal RNA". It matches the Rfam family "Bacterial small subunit ribosomal RNA", at positions 28 to 507 of the family's 1533-position model. The record is from RNAcentral.